RNAcentral lists this ribosomal RNA (465 nucleotides) under uncultured bacterium. Its description in RNAcentral is "partial 16S ribosomal RNA". It matches the Rfam family "Bacterial small subunit ribosomal RNA", at positions 28 to 507 of the family's 1533-position model. The record is from RNAcentral.
GACGAACGCUGGCGGCGUGCUUAACACAUGCAAGUCGUACGGUAAGGCCCUUUCGGGGGUCCACGAGUGGCGAACGGGUGAGUAACACGUGAGUAACCUGCCCACAACUUUGGGAUAACGCUAGGAAACUGGUGCUAAUACUGGAUAUGUGCUCCUGCUGCAUGGUGGGGGUUGGAAAGCUCCGGCGGUUGUGGAUGGACUCGCGGCCUAUCAGCUUGUUGGUGGGGUAGUGGCCUACCAAGGCGGCGACGGGUAGCCGGCCUGAGAGGGUGAUCGGCCACAUUGGGACUGAGAUACGGCCCAGACUCCUACGGGAGGCAGCAGUGGGGAAUAUUGCACAAUGGGCGCAAGCCUGAUGCAGCAACGCCGCGUGCGGGAUGACGGCCUUCGGGUUGUAAACCGCUUUCAGCAGGGACGAAGCUUUUUGUGACGGUACCUGCAGAAGAAGCACCGGCUAACUACGUG